GCUGGGAUAGCUCUGUCAGUAGAGCAUGAGGCUCUUAAUCUCAGGGCUGUGGGUUCAAGCCCCUCAUUGGGCA
This 73-nucleotide transfer RNA is filed under the name Podarcis lilfordi (Lilford's wall lizard). It matches the Rfam family "tRNA". Rfam says of the family: Transfer RNA (tRNA) molecules are approximately 80 nucleotides in length. Their secondary structure includes four short double-helical elements and three loops (D, anti-codon, and T loops). Lineage: Eukaryota; Metazoa; Chordata; Lepidosauria; Squamata; Lacertidae. The record is from Rfam by way of RNAcentral.